GACGAACGCUGGCGGCGUGCUUAACACAUGCAAGUCGAGCGGUAAGGCCCUUUCGGGGUACACGAGCGGCGAACGGGUGAGUAACACGUGGGUGACCUGCCCUCAGCUCUGGGAUAAGCCUGGGAAACCGGGUCUAAUACUGGAUAUGACUCCAUGACGCAUGUUGGUGGGGUGGAAAGCCUUGUGCGGCUGAGGAUGGGCCCGCGGCCUAUCAGCUUGUUGGUGGGGUGANGGCCUACCAAGGCGACGACGGGUAGCCGGCCUGAGAGGGCGACCGGCCACAC
Molecule: ribosomal RNA, 284 nt
Filed under: uncultured bacterium
Lineage: Bacteria
Description: partial 16S ribosomal RNA
Rfam family: Bacterial small subunit ribosomal RNA
Source: RNAcentral